ACCAGUGCUGAUCUGAGGAGAUGAUAGGAAGACGAGUGUGCUUGACUCCAUACUGACUGGUUUUCUUUAAAUCCUUCUGACUCUGCAAUAAUUUAGAAUAUGAUGUUAAAUGAUGAAGAACAAAUAACUGAUAUUAUUGGAGUAGUUCACACUGUACCAGGCAUAUGUACAUCAUUUAACUAAUUUGACCCUCUCACCCACCCUUUAAGGUAAAAAUCGGUAGCAAAUUCACUCAGAUUCAGAAGGAAGAACAGAAGCUUCAUCUCUCAAUGAGAGGAUUGCCCUAUCAGUACUUCCAAAAGUGAAAAUGGGAACUGCAUUAAAAGACAAAAAUUGCCACAGCCACUCCAACCUUUAGCAACCACCACCCUGGUCAGUGAGCAGCCAACCAUUGAAGGUAGGACCCUUAAGCAAAACCGUUAUGAAUAACUGAAGGCUCGGAUGACUGUUACCAUAUUUAAAUUAAUGUAUGUACUGGUUUUUACAGAUUUAAUGCUAUUGCACACUUCAUAUACUACAGUAUAAUGUAAACAUAACUUUUUACUUUAUUUGAACUUUUAGGUUCAGGGGUAUAUUUGCAGGUUUAUUAUAUAGGUAAAUUUCAUGUCAUGGAAAUUUGGUGUACAUAUUAUUUCGUCACCUGGGUGAUAAGUAUACUACCUGAUGGGUAGUUUUUCAAUCCUCAUCCUCCUCCCUCCCUCCCUCCACCCACAAGUAAGCCCCAGUGUCUGUUGUUCCCUUCUUUGUGUCCAUAUGUAUUCAAUGUUUAACUCCCAUUUAUAAGUGAGAAAAUGCAGUACGUGGUUUCCUUUUCUUGUGUUAGUUCGCUUAGGUUAACGGCCUCCAGCUCCAUCCAUGUUGCUGCAAAGGAUAUGAUCUCGUUUUUUAUUAUAGCUGUGUAGUAUUCCAUGGUGUGUAUGUACCACAUUUUUUGAUCCAGUCUACCAUUGAUGGCAUUCAGGUUGAAUCCAUGUUUUUGCUAUUUUGAGUAGUCCUGCAAUGAACAUAUGCAUGCAUGUGUCUUUAUGGUAGAAUGAUUUAUAUUCCUUUGAAUAUAUGUCCAAUAAUGGGAUUGCUGGGUUGAAUUGUAUUUCUGAUUUGAGUUAUUUGAGAAAUCACCAUACUGCUUUCCACAAUGACUGAACAAAAUUCCCACUAGCAGUGUAUAAACGUUCCCUUUUCUCUGAAACCUCACUAGCAUCUGUUAUUUUUUUAUUUUUUAAUAAUAUCCAUUCUGACUAGUGUGAGAUGGUAUCUCAUUGUGGUUUUGAUUUAUAUUUCUCUAAUGAUUAGUGACCUUGAGCAUUUUUUCAUAUGAUUAUUGGCCACAUGCAUGUCUUCUUUGGAAAAGUGUCUUUUCGAGCCCUUUGCCCACUUUUUGAUGGGGUUGUUUGUUUCAUGUUUGUUGAUUUGUUUGUUUCUUAUAGAGUCUUGAUAUUAGACCUUUGUCAGAUCCAUACUUUGCAAAUAUUUUCUCCCAUUCUCUAGGUUGUCUAUUUACUCUGUUGAUAGUUUCUUUUGCUGUGCAGAAACUCUUUAGUGUAAUUAGGUCCCAUUUGUCCAUUUAUGUUUUUGUUGUAAUUGCUUUUGGCAUCUUUGUCAUGAAAUCUUUGCCAGGGCCUACGUCCGGAAUGGUAUUUCCUGGGUUUUCUUCCAGGGUUUUUGUAGUUUCAGGUUUUACAUGUAACUCUUUAAUCCAUCUUGAGUUAAUUUCUGUAUAUGAUGUAAGGUAGGAGUCCAGUUUCAGUCUUCUGCAUAUUGCUAGCCAGUUAUCCCAGGACAAUUUAUUAAAUUGUUCCUCUCCCAUUUGCUUAUUUUUAUCAGGUUUGUUGAAGAUCAGAUUGUUGUAGAUGUACAGCACUAUUUCUGGUCUCUCUAUUCUGUGUCAUUGGUGUAUGAGGCUGUUUUUGUACCAGUACCAUGCUUUUUUGGUUACUGCAGCCUUAGAGUGUAAUUUGAAUUUGGGUAAUGUGAUGCAUCUAGCUUUGUUCUUUUUGCUUAGGAUUGCCUUGACUGUUAGAGAACACAGGUCCUCUAUCAUAAACAACCCAAAAAAUUUGUGUGACUCACUCUAUUGAGAUAUUUGCUUUAUUGCAGUGGCCUGGAACUGAACUUCCAAUAUCUCUGAGGUAUGCCUGUAUUUAGAGGAAUGGGCAGGCUACUAACAUUCAAGUACCCUUCCAAAACCAUCAUUUUUGUAGAGUAUUGCUGAGAAAUGAGUUCAGGGUUAUACUCCAUAACAAUUACCUUCUGGAGAAUUAGUCUAUGUUGGCUGUGGAGCAGAUAGAUGGUUACUCUGGCCAUUGUUAAAGUGGAGGGAGUAAAAAGAUGAAGUAUAACUGCCAUUAUACACUGACAACAUGAUUGUGAAUUUAAAAAAUACAAAGAAAUUUACAAACUACAAGAACUAAUAAGUGAAUUCAGCCAGGUCACAGGAUACGAGAUGAGCUGUAUUUUUAUAAACUAGCAACAAACAAGUAUACAAUACAAGAUUUUUAAAUACUAUUUAUAAUUUCACUGAAACCAUAAAAUAUCUAAGAAUAAAAUUAAUAAACUAUAUGAAAGAAUUUUCCACAAACUAUAGACAAAAUGAACAUUGCUGAAAUAAAUCAAAGAUCUAAAUAAAUAGGAAAAUAUGCCAUGUUCAUAGAAUAAAAGACUCUAAACUGCUAGAUUGUAUUAGUCUGUUCUCAUACUGCCAUUAAGAAAUACCCGAGACUGGGUAAUUUAUAAAGAAAAGAGGUUUAAAUAACUCACAGUGUUAUAUGGCUGGGGAGGCCUAAGGAAACUUAAAAUCAUGGAAUAAGGGGAAGCAGGCAUGUCUUACAUGGCGGUAGGUGAGAGAAGAGAAAACUAAGGGGGAAGAGCACCUUAUAAAACCAUCAGAUCUCGUGAGAACUCACUCCCUAUCAUGAGAACAGCAUGAGGGAAACUGCCCCUAUUCCAGUCACCUUUCUCCCUUGACACAUGAGGAUCACAAUUUGAGAUGAGAUUUGGGUGGAGUCACAAAGCCCAGCCAUAUCAUAGAUGUAAAUUUUCCUCAAAUAAAGUCCAUGUAAUCCCAGCAGAUUUUUUGUUAAAGUAUUUAAGACAAUUCCAAAAGUUAUAUGAGAAGAUAAAAGACACAGAGAGGCUACAACCUAACCUCUUAUAACAAAUGUCUUAUAUUUUUGUAAGGGGAAAAGAUAUAUGAAAGGAACAGAAGAGAGUGCAGAAAUGGACCUCACAUACACAACCUCUUGAUUUACACCAGAAGCACCAAUGCACUUCAAAGGGAAAAUAAAUAUCUUCAAAAUAAAUGGUAUUGGAGCCAUGGGAUAUUCAUAAAAAAUUAUAAAUAAAUAAAUAAACCCUAUAUGCUCCUUUACAUUACACAGGGAAAUUAAGUUGACUUAACUGUAGUAGUUAAAAGUAUAAUUUUCCCAUAAAACAUAAAAGAAUAUCUUCAUGGAAUUAGAUUGACAAAGAUUUCUUAUACAAAGCAACAAAAUCCCUAGCUACGAAAAGAAAAAAUAACCUGGUAAAUUGUAAUUUACCCAACUUGUACAUUUUAUCAUCAAAAGAUACCAUUAAGAAAGUAAAAAUGUAAGCAUCAGACUGGGGAAAAUACAUAAUAGACAAAGAACUGCACAUGUAAUAUAUAUUAAACUUACAAUACGAAAAAGGACCAAAAAUGGCCAAAAGAGAAUAUCCCAAUGGACAAUAAACAUAUGAAAAUGCGCUUAAUAUAAUUAAUCAGGAAUAUAUUAAUUAAAAGCAUAAUAUACUACUAAACACCCAUCAAAAUGGCUCAAAGAUGUUUGGAUAGCAAAUGAGCAUAUUAAUAGAUGUGCAGUGCUAUUAGGAAAAUGCAAAACUAAAAUUACAAUGAGGUACCACUAUACACCUGUGAAAAUGGGUAAAAUUAAAAAGAUUGACCAUACCAAGUGUUGAUGAAGAUGUGGAAGAAUUGAAACUCUUAUACCACAAAUGGUGGAAAAAUAAAAUGUUACAACUACUUUAGAAUAUCAUUGGGCAGUUGCUAAAAACAUUAAACAUAUAUCUACAUUAUGACCCAGCUACUCUAAUUCUAGGUAUAUAAUGAAGAAAAAUAAGUAAAAUUGUUUGCAUAGUCAGUGGCAACAUAUAUUCUGGAUUACAUGAUUAUACACACACUUAUAUACAUUUGCUUGUACAUAGAAUAUCUCUGUAUUUACAUAAGGAACUGUUUUACUUCCCUGCAUAGGUAAGGGACUGACUGGGAGACUGGAUGGGAGAGGAAAUGUUUUUACACUGAAUAUCACUUACCAUAUUUGAAUUGUGUACUGUGUGCAUGUAUUACCCAUUUCAAAAAUGAACCAACUUUUUAUUUAUUAAAAGUCAAUCAGGUCUACUCCAGCACACAUAUUGAGUCCUAUUUGAUUAUGGUAUAUUGUUCUACUAUUUUAUUAUUAUUGCCAUUUAUCUGUUGCUGUUCAUAAUUUAUAAAUUAAAGUUUAUUAUAUGUAUGUAUAGGAAAAAAGUAUAUACAGGGCUUAGGACUAUCUGUGGUUUCAAGUACCCACUGGAGGUCUUAGAAUGUAUUUCCUGAAAAUAUGGGAGGAUUACUGUAAUUCGUAACAAAAAAAGCCAGUUAGCGCUAAAAUACAACAAUAGCAUUCUAUCAUUAACUUGCUGAGAAGCAAGGUCGAGUAAACCUGGAAUGAAGAUACUAGAUUCUAUGAUGUGACUGCCAUAAAUUUAGUUGCUGCACAUCUUCAACUAUGCUUCUUCCCACAAGUAUUUUUUGCAAGGUUCUCUUCCACCUGUUUCUUCAUCAAAGUUUAAUUUCUUUUUGUUUAAGAGCCCAAGGUAUCAUGUUUUGCUUUCUUUCUUUCUUUUUUUUUUUAAUUUUUGUUUGUAAUGUCUAUCUCUUCAAUACAAACAACUAGAAGUGUCAUGAUACAAUGAAUAUUUUUUAGACUAGACAAUCUCAGGCAUACAGCAGCAUACAGUUUAUAACCAUGACUAAAAUUAUCCUCAAAAAAGAAAACAAAAGAUAUUAACAUUGCCUUAAGCCACAGCUAUUUUUGUUAAUUUAUCACAAAUUACCCUUGCACAUUGCACUUGCAAGAAAUAAAUUAUUUUCCUUUGUUCAAUAUAUUUAUGACUGUGCUGAAUA
Molecule: long non-coding RNA, 5140 nt
Filed under: Homo sapiens (human)
Lineage: Eukaryota; Metazoa; Chordata; Mammalia; Primates; Hominidae
Description: non-protein coding lnc-CPS1-5:2
Source: RNAcentral